AGAGGCCAGAUAUGUCAAUAAACAGUGAAAACUGUCCUGCUCCAGCACUUUAAACCAUGCUACUGGUUUUUCUCUUUGGCAAUUCUGGACCUUUCAGAGCCUUGAGUGUCACUCCUGGAAGAGACUGGGGAGACGGUGCACCCAGAGAGGAACAAAACGGGGAGACAUGGUCUGAAUCAAAAACCAGAUUAAAAUGCAGUGUUAUCUGGGGGUGCUUUUCCCCCCGAGGGAAAACCCCUUUCGUCAUCUGAGGCCAUUGGCAGGUCCCCCCAUGGAGUUGGGUUGACCAAGCAGAACUGGUGGUACCGGAGCCAUCUGGUAAGGUGUUCACGCCUGAGUCUGGCCCAACUGCCAGACCUGCUGGGACAUUAAUUAGGGACCCGAGCAAAUAUCAUCCUGCUUACUUCCUGUCUCCCAGGCAGAAGCUACAAGUUUCAGGAAUUCCUGGGCCCUGCACCACUGGAUCAAGCUCCUUAUGGCAGAGGGAAGAGUGAAGGUUAUCAUGUUGUCUUUGAAUGGGCCAGAGUCUGGGUGAAGGAAGGAAGAGGAACAAAUGAGAAGCUCAGCUUCCUUGCAGGGAGCAGAUUCGACGUCAGGUACAGUGCCUUACAGAGAUUUUUGGUGGAUGAAAAAAAAAAAUACUGCAGAUUUUUAAAUACAGAGAUGGUGUCAAAGCUCCAGGAAAUUGCAUUCAGAAAGGAAUCCUGUAUGUUGACUUCUUGUGAAAACUAAUGAAAGGAAACCAGUUUAGUUCAGGUUAUGGUUGAGUUUAAAACGGA
Molecule: long non-coding RNA, 779 nt
Organism: Herpailurus yagouaroundi (jaguarundi)
Lineage: Eukaryota; Metazoa; Chordata; Mammalia; Carnivora; Felidae
Exons: 4
Source: RefSeq, a predicted model, not a curated record